Molecule: long non-coding RNA, 510 nt
Organism: Drosophila biarmipes
Lineage: Eukaryota; Metazoa; Arthropoda; Insecta; Diptera; Drosophilidae
Exons: 2
Source: RefSeq, a predicted model, not a curated record
AAUAACUAAUUUACUUAAAUUGUCUUCGCAACCUGAAUUAAGAUUUAACCCUGCUGAAAGGCUUGGGGAAUGCUGGGAUAGUAUCUCCUUCAACUUGUUCCAACGCUCUUCGCGUUUGAGCUGCAAAGCUUUCGACCUAAAAAGGAGUUUUUGUUGAGCUUGUUGAAGAGCUUCUCGUUCAUCUGCAGGAACAACUUGGAAAUGCUGUAGACCAGAUCCCUUACCUCCUCGUUCCAGUGCUCCUUGCUCACGUGGUACAAGGCCGGAAACAUGAUGGGCAAGAUGACCUCGUUGUUGGCCAUAAUGAGUGACACAAUAUUCUCAUGGCUCCACAUGCGAAGAGUCCUUUCAGCCACCUAAAUUGUUGGGAAUGACAAGUAUUACUUUCUGCCACGUAUAUUAAAUAGACGGGUCUCUAAAAACCACCAAAUAAUAAUAUUCUUUUGCCUUAAACCUAAGUUUUUGGAUCUUAUAUUAUGAUAUUAAACUAAUUAUUCUAAAAUGUUACAA